RNAcentral lists this ribosomal RNA (477 nucleotides) under uncultured bacterium. RNAcentral's name for it is "partial 16S ribosomal RNA". It matches the Rfam family "Bacterial small subunit ribosomal RNA", at positions 30 to 507 of the family's 1533-position model. The record is from RNAcentral.
AUUGAACGCUGGCGGCAUGCCUUACACAUGCAAGUCGAACGGUAACAGGUUAAGCUGACGAGUGGCGAACGGGUGAGUAAUGUAUCGGAACGUGCCCAGUCGUGGGGGAUAACUGCUCGAAAGAGCAGCUAAUACCGCAUACGACCUGAGGGUGAAAGCGGGGGAUCGCAAGACCUCGCGCGAUUGGAGCGGCCGAUAUCAGAUUAGGUAGUUGGUGAGGUAAAGGCUCACCAAGCCGACGAUCUGUAGCUGGUCUGAGAGGACGACCAGCCACACUGGGAGUGAGACACGGCCCAGACUCCUACGGGAGGCAGCAGUGGGGAAUUUUGGACAAUGGGCGCAAGCCUGAUCCAGCCAUGCCGCGUGCGGGAAGAAGGCCUUCGGGUUGUAAACCGCUUUUGUCAGGGAAGAAAAGGUUCUGGCUAAUACCUGGGACUCAUGACGGUACCUGAAGAAUAAGCACCGGCUAACUACGUG